AAGAGUACUGUUUUGACAUAUAGCGGUGCUGUUGGGAACUAUCACUGUGCACAAUGCUUCCACUCGGGGUCCUAUCCGACCUUGUGUCCAGAAGUCCAAAGCCAAAAAUGAAAAUCUUUUAGUACUGUUUCUGGUCUGAUUCUGUGCUGAAUUGUUGAUUAGUUAAAUUCAUCUACAAUAUUUAUUUAUCAUUGAC
Long non-coding RNA from Thalassophryne amazonica, 196 nucleotides. RefSeq lists it as uncharacterized. NCBI's taxonomy places the organism in Eukaryota, Metazoa, Chordata, Actinopteri, Batrachoidiformes, Batrachoididae. The transcript is spliced from 3 exons. The record is from RefSeq and is a predicted model, not a curated record.